GUGAAGUUAUUUAUUUAGUGGUCAUUUAGUGUAGUUUAUUUAGUGAAGUGUCAAAAAUUGAGGUUAGCUGUUAUCCAGGUUUUCCCGAAACCGCUCUCUUCUGGAAAUCGAGAGACAACAAAUUGGUAAUCUCGAUGUUUCAGAAGAAUCGGUGAUUUGAAUAAAGUUGAAAGUGAUGAAAAUGCAUCCAUAGACUUCACUGUUAUGAUUUAAUAGCACAAUUGGAAUGAUGAUUCAUCAAAUUCCUUCCAGUGAGCGAAGCCUUCCAGAUAUAUUAUAGUUCAUCCUGUGCCUCC
Long non-coding RNA from Ctenocephalides felis (cat flea), 296 nucleotides. RefSeq lists it as uncharacterized. The record is from RefSeq and is a predicted model, not a curated record. The transcript is spliced from 3 exons. Lineage: Eukaryota; Metazoa; Arthropoda; Insecta; Siphonaptera; Pulicidae.